RNAcentral lists this unclassified non-coding RNA (336 nucleotides) under soil metagenome. Its description in RNAcentral is "partial contains 5.8S ribosomal RNA, internal transcribed spacer 2, and large subunit ribosomal RNA". The stretch from base 1 to 120 matches the Rfam family "5.8S ribosomal RNA", at positions 35 to 154 of the family's 154-position model. The record is from RNAcentral.
GAUGAAGAACGUAGCGAAAUGCGAUAAGUAAUGUGAAUUGCAGAAUUCAGUGAAUCAUCGAAUCUUUGAACGCACAUUGCGCCCGCCAGUAUUCUGGCGGGCAUGCCUGUUCGAGCGUCAUUUCAACCAUCAAGCCCCAGGCUUGUGUUGGGGACCUGCGGCUGCCGCAGGCCCUGAAAACCAGUGGCGGGCUCGCUGUCACACCGGGCGUAGUAGAUUUUAUCUCGCUCAGGGCGUGCUGCGGGUUCCGGCCGUUAAAAAGCCUUUUUUACCCAAGGUUGACCUCGGAUCAGGUAGGGUUACCCGCUGAACUUAAGCAUAUCAAUAAGCGGAGGA